RNAcentral lists this ribosomal RNA (512 nucleotides) under Salmonella enterica. Its description in RNAcentral is "partial 23S ribosomal RNA". It matches the Rfam family "Bacterial large subunit ribosomal RNA", at positions 1 to 543 of the family's 2925-position model. Lineage: Bacteria; Pseudomonadati; Pseudomonadota; Gammaproteobacteria; Enterobacterales; Enterobacteriaceae. The record is from RNAcentral.
GGGUUGUGAGGUUAAGCGACUAAGCGUACACGGUGGAUGCCCUGGCAGUCAGAGGCGAUGAAGGGCGUGCUAAUCUGCGAUAAGCGCCGGUAAGGUGAUAUGAACCGUUAUAACCGGCGAUACCCGAAUGGGGAAACCCAGUGUGAUUCGUCACACUAUCAUUAACUGAAUCCAUAGGUUAAUGAGGCGAACCGGGGGAACUGAAACAUCUAAGUACCCCGAGGAAAAGAAAUCAACCGAGAUUCCCCCAGUAGCGGCGAGCGAACGGGGAGGAGCCCAGAGCCUGAAUCAGCAUGUGUGUUAGUGGAAGCGUCUGGAAAGGCGCGCGAUACAGGGUGACAGCCCCGUACACAAAAGCGCAUGUGCUGUGAGCUCGAUGAGUAGGGCGGGACACGUGGUAUCCUGUCUGAAUAUGGGGGGACCAUCCUCCAAGGCUAAAUACUCCUGACUGACCGAUAGUGAACCAGUACCGUGAGGGAAAGGCGAAAAGAACCCCGGCGAGGGGAGUGAAA